GCAGCGGUUGUUCAAUGGCAGAAUUGUCACCUUCCACGUGAGAGACUGGGGCUCAAUUCCCAGCCAUUGCA
RNAcentral lists this transfer RNA (71 nucleotides) under Loxodonta africana (African savanna elephant). It matches the Rfam family "tRNA". Rfam says of the family: Transfer RNA (tRNA) molecules are approximately 80 nucleotides in length. Lineage: Eukaryota; Metazoa; Chordata; Mammalia; Proboscidea; Elephantidae. The record is from Rfam by way of RNAcentral.